UGAUACUUUGGUGCUAUUUAAGAUUCAGGA
This 30-nucleotide non-coding RNA is filed under the name Mus musculus (house mouse). RNAcentral also lists the same sequence under 1 other name. Lineage: Eukaryota; Metazoa; Chordata; Mammalia; Rodentia; Muridae. The record is from RNAcentral.